AACUUUAGGCGGUGGAUCACUCGGCUCGUGCGUCGAUGAAGAACGCGCCAGCUGCGUGAAUUAAUGUGAAUUGCAGGACACAUUGAACAUCGACAUUUUGAACGCAUAUUGCGGCCAUAGGUCCGUCCUGUGGCC
Molecule: ribosomal RNA, 135 nt
Filed under: Oncomelania hupensis
Lineage: Eukaryota; Metazoa; Mollusca; Gastropoda; Littorinimorpha; Pomatiopsidae
Description: 5.8S ribosomal RNA
Rfam family: 5.8S ribosomal RNA
About the family: 5.8S ribosomal RNA (5.8S rRNA) is a component of the large subunit of the eukaryotic ribosome.
Source: RNAcentral